This is a non-coding RNA of Bos taurus (domestic cattle), 73 nucleotides long. The record is from Rfam. Lineage: Eukaryota; Metazoa; Chordata; Mammalia; Artiodactyla; Bovidae.
UUCCUGGUGGCCCUGUGGCUAAGACUCUGCACUCCUGAUGCAGGGGCCCCAGGUUCGAUCCCUGGUCAGGGAA